RNAcentral lists this transfer RNA (72 nucleotides) under Medicago polymorpha. RNAcentral describes it as "tRNA-Gln". It matches the Rfam family "tRNA". Rfam says of the family: Transfer RNA (tRNA) molecules are approximately 80 nucleotides in length. Their secondary structure includes four short double-helical elements and three loops (D, anti-codon, and T loops). Lineage: Eukaryota; Viridiplantae; Streptophyta; Magnoliopsida; Fabales; Fabaceae. The record is from RNAcentral. RNAcentral also lists the same sequence under 1 other name.
UGGGGCGUCGCCAAGUGGUAAGGCAACGGGUUUUGGUCCCGUUAUUCGAAGGUUCGAAUCCUUCCGUCCCAG